GUGAAGGAGUCCUGGGUCCUGAAGUGGCAACUGUGGAGGUCGCUGUGUUCCAUCCUAUGCUGCAGACCCAGGGCCGGGCCACAGAGCUCGGGAGAGGGGCAGGAAGAGGGUGCAGGGAGGAAGAGGGGCCAGGUGCUCUGCCCACACACUGAGUCUGAGGAGCCGUCCAGGAGCAAAGGGCUGGAAGGAAAGAGACAGGACUCCGCAGGAUGGAGAAGAUUUUCUGGAGGACGAGGGAGCACUCCUUUCUUCCUGGGGCUGGAGGCAGGUGGGCACCCGGAAGCCUGAAAUUCAAGACUGAGAAGAUGUUCCCCAGUGGGGGAACUUGCCUGGGUCAGCGGCUUUCCAGGAACAGAAGUCAUUUCCUAUGAAAGAGAGAAUCCACUUAAGAAUAAACUUCAGAGCUGGUCACAGUGGCUCACGCGUGUAAUCCCAGUACCUUGGGAGGCUGAGGCGUGUGGAUCACCUGAGGUCAGGAGCAUGAGACCAGCCUGGCCAACAUGGUGAAACCCCAUCUCUACUAAAUGCAAAAAAAAUCAUCUGAGCAUGGUGGAACAUGCCUGUAAUCCCAGCUACUUGGGAGACUGAGGCAGGAGAAUCACUUGAACCCGAGAGACAGAGGUUGCAGUGAGCCGCGAUCACGCCACUGUACUCCAGCCUGGGCAACAAGAGUGAAAUUCUGUCUCAAAAAAGCAAAAAC
RNAcentral lists this long non-coding RNA (700 nucleotides) under Rhinopithecus bieti (black snub-nosed monkey). Its description in RNAcentral is "lncRNA (ENSRBIG00000046747.1)". The record is from RNAcentral. Lineage: Eukaryota; Metazoa; Chordata; Mammalia; Primates; Cercopithecidae.